This 29-nucleotide non-coding RNA is filed under the name Oryctolagus cuniculus (rabbit). The record is from RNAcentral. RNAcentral also lists the same sequence under 1 other name. Lineage: Eukaryota; Metazoa; Chordata; Mammalia; Lagomorpha; Leporidae.
GUAGUUACCUGUGUGACUGUGGUGUGCUU